CGUUGCACUAUCGUUAACUGAAUACAUAGGUUAACGAGGCGAACCGGGGGAACUGAAACAUCUAAGUACCCCGAGGAAAAGAAAUCAACCGAGAUUCCCCCAGUAGCGGCGAGCGAACGGGGAGCAGCCCGGAGUCUGAAUCAGCUUGUGUGUUAGUGGAACGGUCUGGAAAGUCCGACGGUACAGGGUGAUAGUCCCGUACACGAAAGCACACAUGCUGUGAACUCGAAGAGUAGGGCGGGACACGUGGUAUCCUGUCUGAAUAUGGGGGGACCAUCCUCCAAGGCUAAAUACUCCUGACUGACCGAUAGUGAACCAGUACCGUGAGGGAAAGGCGAAAAGAACCCCGGCGAGGGGAGUGAAAAAGAACCUGAAACCGUGUACGUACAAGCAGUGGGAGCCUCUUUAUGGGGUGACUGCGUACCUUUUGUAUAAUGGGUCAGCGACUUAUAUUCUGUAGCAAGGUUAACCGUAUAGGGGAGCCGAAGGGAAACCGAGUCUUAACUGGGCGUUAAGUUGCAGGGUAUAGACCCGAAACCCGGUGAUCUAGCCAUGGGCAGGUUGAAGGUUGGGUAACACUAACUGGAGGACCGAACCGACUAAUGUUGAAAAAUUAGCGGAUGACCUGUGGCUGGGGGUGAAAGGCCAAUCAAACCGGGAGAUAGCUGGUUCUCCCCGAAAGCUAUUUAGGUAGCGCCUCGUGAACUCAUCUUCGGGGGUAGAGCACUGUUUCGGCUAGGGGGCCAUCCCGGCUUACCAACCCGAUGCAAACUACGAAUACCGAAGAAUGUUAUCACGGGAGACACACGGCGGGUGCUAACGUCCGUCGUGAAGAGGGAAACAACCCAGACCGCCAGCUAAGGUCCCAAAGUCAUGGUUAAGUGGGAAACGAUGUGGGAAGGCACAGACAGCCAGGAUGUUGGCUUAGAAGCAGCCAUCAUUUAAAGAAAGCGUAAUAGCUCACUGGUCGAGUCGGCCUGCGCGGAAGAUGUAACGGGGCUAAACCAUGCACCGAAGCUGCGGCAGCGACACUAUGUGUUGUUGGGUAGGGGAGCGUUCUGUAAGCCGUUGAAGGUGUGCUGUGAGGCAUGCUGGAGGUAUCAGAAGUGCGAAUGCUGACAUAAGUAACGAUAAAGCGGGUGAAAAGCCCGCUCGCCGGAAGACCAAGGGUUCCUGUCCAACGUUAAUCGGGGCAGGGUGAGUCGACCCCUAAGGCGAGGCCGAAAGGCGUAGUCGAUGGGAAACAGGUUAAUAUUCCUGUACUUGGUGUUACUGCGAAGGGGGGACGGAGAAGGCUAUGUCAGCCGGGCGACGGUUGUCCCGGUUUAAGCAUGUAGGCGGAGGUUCCAGGUAAAUCCGGUACCUUUUAACGCUGAGGUGUGAUGACGAGGCACUACGGUGCUGAAGUGAUAAAUGCCCUGCUUCCAGGAAAAGCCUCUAAGCAUCAGGUAACAUCAAAUCGUACCCCAAACCGACACAGGUGGUCAGGUAGAGAAUACCAAGGCGCUUGAGAGAACUCGGGUGAAGGAACUAGGCAAAAUGGUGCCGUAACUUCGGGAGAAGGCACGCUGAUGUGUAGGUGAAGCCCCUGCGGGCGGAGCUGAAAUCAGUCGAAGAUACCAGCUGGCUGCAACUGUUUAUUAAAAACACAGCACUGUGCAAACACGAAAGUGGACGUAUACGGUGUGACGCCUGCCCGGUGCCGGAAGGUUAAUUGAUGGGGUUAGCGGCAACGCGAAGCUCUUGAUCGAAGCCCCGGUAAACGGCGGCCGUAACUAUAACGGUCCUAAGGUAGCGAAAUUCCUUGUCGGGUAAGUUCCGACCUGCACGAAUGGCGUAAUGAUGGCCAGGCUGUCUCCACCCGAGACUCAGUGAAAUUGAACUCGCUGUGAAGAUGCAGUGUACCCGCGGCAAGACGGAAAGACCCCGUGAACCUUUACUAUAGCUUGACACUGAACACUGGUCCUUGAUGUGUAGGAUAGGUGGGAGGCUUUGAAGCGUGGACGCCAGUCUGCGUGGAGCCGACCUUGAAAUACCACCCUUUAAUGGCUGGUGUUCUAACGUAGACCCGUAAUCCGGGUUGCGGACAGUGUCUGGUGGGUAGUUUGACUGGGGCGGUCUCCUCCCAAAGAGUAACGGAGGAGCACGAAGGUUGGCUAAUCCUGGUCGGACAUCAGGAGGUUAGUGCAAUGGCAUAAGCCAGCUUGACUGCGAGCGUGACGGCGCGAGCAGGUGCGAAAGCAGGUCAUAGUGAUCCGGUGGUUCUGAAUGGAAGGGCCAUCGCUCAACGGAUAAAAGGUACUCCGGGGAUAACAGGCUGAUACCGCCCAAGAGUUCAUAUCGACGGCGGUGUUUGGCACCUCGAUGUCGGCUCAUCACAUCCUGGGGCUGAAGUAGGUCCCAAGGGUAUGGCUGUUCGCCAUUUAAAGUGGUACGCGAGCUGGGUUUAGAACGUCGUGAGACAGUUCGGUCCCUAUCUGCCGUGGGCGCUGGAGAAUUGAGGGGGGCUGCUCCUAGUACGAGAGGACCGGAGUGGACGCAUCACUGGUGUUCGGGUUGUCAUGCCAAUGGCACUGCCCGGUAGCUAAAUGCGGAAGAGAUAAGUGCUGAAAGCAUCUAAGCACGAAACUUGCCCCGAGAUGAGUUCUCCCUGAGACUUUAAGUCUCCUGAAGGAACGUUGAAGACGACGACGUUGAUAGGUCGGGUGUGUAAGCGCAGCGAUGCGUUGAGCUAACCGAUACUAAUGAACCGUGAGGCUUAACCUU
RNAcentral lists this ribosomal RNA (2766 nucleotides) under Enterobacter hormaechei. Its description in RNAcentral is "partial 23S ribosomal RNA". It matches the Rfam family "Bacterial large subunit ribosomal RNA". RNAcentral also lists the same sequence under 2 other names. The record is from RNAcentral. Lineage: Bacteria; Pseudomonadati; Pseudomonadota; Gammaproteobacteria; Enterobacterales; Enterobacteriaceae.